RNAcentral lists this ribosomal RNA (451 nucleotides) under uncultured bacterium. RNAcentral's name for it is "partial 16S ribosomal RNA". It matches the Rfam family "Bacterial small subunit ribosomal RNA", at positions 28 to 507 of the family's 1533-position model. The record is from RNAcentral.
GAUGAACGCUGGCGGCGUGCCUAACACAUGCAAGUCGAGCGGCAGCGAGGGGUGCUUGCACCCUGUCGGCGAGCGGCAGACGGCUGAGUAACGCGUGGGAACGUGCCCCAAAGUGAGGAAUAACUGCCCGAAAGGGUAGCUAAUACCGCAUAUUAUCUUCGGAUCAAAGGAUUUAUCCGCUUUGGGAGCGGCUCGCGUCGGAUUAGGUAGUUGGUGAGGUAAUGGCUCACCAAGCCGACGAUCCGUAGCUGGUCUGAGAGGAUGACCAGCCAGACUGGAACUGAGACACGGUCCUGACUCCUACGGGAGGCAGCAGUGAGGAAUCUUCCACAACGGGCGAAAGCCUGAUGGAGCAACGCCGCGUGCAGGACGAAGGCCUUCGGGUUGUAAACUGCUUUUAUAAGUGAGGAAUAUGACGGUAACUUAUGAAUAAGGAUCGGCUAACUACGUG